ACAUGUCAAGCAAUCGACAGAUCCUCUCUAGAAUUGAUAAACUAAUUUGCCAAGCAAACUAAAUUUCAUGUAAAUCAAAUUUGUAAAUAAUUUUGGCAAGCAAGGUAAAAAUAUUUCUAACACAUAUUUGAAAUGACACAAAAUCGGAGAUUAGAAGAAACACAAAAAUGGAAAUGCUCCGUGCAAGCAUGGACAAAAACUAAAGGACAUUUACGUACAAGAUUUUCUCGCCCGCAGUGUUGACCGGUCAACUGGCCAAAUGGACUGGCUCUGGACAUUAGGGUCUUGUGUGUGUGUGUGUGUGUGUCUGUAUGCGUGUGUCUACGUAUAUUUCAUGCAAUAUCCUGUUGAAUAUUUAAAUUGUGUACACAAUUUCCGGAGCAAUGAGUUUGACAAUGGAAUCAUUAAGAAAAGAUAACUGAACCGGGCUGCAAGGCAAAGAUAAGAACGCCUGACUGGACACCCACACCAAUUGUCCAAAAGCCGAACCAAGUCAAACAUAGACAUUGCGUAAAUGCAUUUUGUGUGCGUGCGUGUGUGUGUGUCUGCAUGACUUAUACUGUUCCAAGAUGAUUUGUCUAAUGUGUGUGCCUGUAUCUGUGCGUGUCUGUGAUUGCAUUUUAUUUAUUUUUUGCCUUUGUGGUAUUUGUUUUGGUCGACAUAUAAUUUAUCAGGCCGGCAGAGACAUGCGCCGACCAAAUUGACAAUUAAAUAGAAGAGAGAGCCGAGAAAACUUGAUUAAAAUUGGCAACGAAACAGACAGAUGGUUGGCUUGAGAACUGAAUAAAAAAAAAAAAGGAUGAGCUGCACGUGCGUCAAACGCAGAUGCUUGCCAAAAGCUGCCCAAUGGCCAUCCAUACACGCACACACACGCCGGGCAUAGCCAAUGUGCGUUGGGAGACGUCCAGACACCCCUGUACGUGACCAACUGCAAAGCUGUCAAAAGUUGUGAAAAUUAAAAAAUAAAGUCAAACAAAUAUGCGCGACGGCAAAAA
Molecule: non-coding RNA, 995 nt
Organism: Drosophila virilis
Lineage: Eukaryota; Metazoa; Arthropoda; Insecta; Diptera; Drosophilidae
Source: RefSeq, a predicted model, not a curated record